RNAcentral lists this ribosomal RNA (253 nucleotides) under uncultured bacterium. Its description in RNAcentral is "partial 16S ribosomal RNA". It matches the Rfam family "Bacterial small subunit ribosomal RNA", at positions 524 to 776 of the family's 1533-position model. The record is from RNAcentral.
UACAGAGGGUGCAAGCGUUGCUCGGAUUUACUGGGCGUAAAGCGUACGCAGACGGCCACGCAGGUCGGGUGUGAAAGCCCCGGGCUCAACCCGGGAAUUGCAUUCGAAACCAUGUGGCUCGAGUGUGGGAGAGGGUAGUGGAAUUCCUGGUGUAGAGGUGAAAUUCGUAGAUAUUGGGAAGAACACCGGUGGCGAAGGCGACCAUCUGGACGACAACUGACGCUGAGGCGCGAAAGCGUGGGGAGCAAACAGG